Molecule: long non-coding RNA, 943 nt
Organism: Anneissia japonica
Lineage: Eukaryota; Metazoa; Echinodermata; Crinoidea; Comatulida; Comatulidae
Exons: 3
Source: RefSeq, a predicted model, not a curated record
UCCGGAUAAACACUCGGCUUUGCCGUAUCUCUUGUCACACAGCAUUCAGCUAUAUAUACGUUCGCCUAUAUAAACCUCACUCAGUUUUUUCCGGACUCUCUCAAUUAGAGUGGAUAUAACAAACAACGCGCCUAGUGUUCGAGAUACUACCACCGACUAACCUCAUUGGAGUUAAGUGUUGACGUUCUUAUUAAAAGAAGUCAAUGAAAGACUAUGUGAAAGCAAUCUCGUUGUGCAGCUGAGAGAGCAACAGUAUACCGACGUCUCUUGCAAACUAAAGACAGUUGGCUUCUGGACACCGAGCACGACACACGCUUAGCUGAAAAACGCGUUCCUAUGGUUCCAUCUAUGCUACCAAGUGCGGAGCGAAUGUUCUGAAGCUUUUAUGAACUGGAUGUAAUUUUAUGAAAAUACCUUAUCAAAUUCUAAACCGAGCUGCUGUACACAGAUCGAGGUGACAAUUUGCGAGUGCGAUAAAAACUGUUACUUAAUUUAUAAAGGAGUGUGAGCGGGAAACCCGGUUGUCAUCCAGACUCACAAAUUCAACAUUGUUAAUCCCAGACAAACAAAAAGCUAUGCUGACAGAUUUUUCAACCUUGCAUUUCUGUUUGAAACUCACUACUUGCUGAUUGUUUUCCUCAAGUUUAUGACCUCCCUUUAUAUGAGGAAUGUGAAUUCCUUUGUUUUGCUCCAUUGAGUUCUUCAUUUCUAGCCCAUUACUUAGAGUGGCCAGCUCUUAACCUUGUUUUGGAAGAUUUAAAAAAGUAAUUGUUGAAUGUUGCGACAGUGAUAGACAACUCUGGGAAUAGACAGCUGUAGAGUGGCAAAGUGCUAAAUGUUAUCACUCAACAUGAAUCAAAUUAGUCUGCCUUAAGUCCAGUGAGCUCUCAUAUAUUCCGUUUAACUGGAAAACCUUUGCUGCAUUAGCAAAAUAUUUUCUUGA